GCUGUUGUAGCUCAGGGGUAGAGCACUUCAUUGGUAAUGAAGAGGUCGGGAGUUCAAAUCUCCCCAACAGCACCA
RNAcentral lists this transfer RNA (75 nucleotides) under Ahrensia sp. Its description in RNAcentral is "tRNA-Thr". It matches the Rfam family "tRNA". From Rfam's summary of the family: Transfer RNA (tRNA) molecules are approximately 80 nucleotides in length. Their secondary structure includes four short double-helical elements and three loops (D, anti-codon, and T loops). RNAcentral also lists the same sequence under 2 other names. Lineage: Bacteria; Pseudomonadati; Pseudomonadota; Alphaproteobacteria; Hyphomicrobiales; Ahrensiaceae. The record is from RNAcentral.